GUUUGUCAUAAAAUGACUCUGCCUAUCUAUGUGAUACUCCCCCGUCUUCUGACAUGUCCAACUGUUUUUGCUGGUCCAUUUUCGAUCGAGUUCAAAAUUUGCUUAGUUAUCACCUUUCAGUCUGAGCUCGCCAAAUUACAUACAAAGUCUGAUCCUACAACUCCAAGACUUUGGCUGGCCAUGGAGACUCUACCACUUGAACUUGUCCGAGCAAAGUGAGACGAUCUGUGCUAAGCAAGGUCAAAGCUAUCUAUUCAUAAAACUUAUUAAAACUACCAUCCUAAACAGGCAUAAGGGCACAAUGCAAAUCCAUUUCUGUUGUGCAUUGUUCUGGAAAUUCGUUUCCAGA
This is a long non-coding RNA of Pistacia vera, 349 nucleotides long. RefSeq lists it as uncharacterized. NCBI's taxonomy places the organism in Eukaryota, Viridiplantae, Streptophyta, Magnoliopsida, Sapindales, Anacardiaceae. The record is from RefSeq and is a predicted model, not a curated record. The transcript has 3 exons.